UAUGCAUAAUACAUGCAAGUCGAACGAAAAAGGUCUUCGGGCCUUUUUAGUGGCAAACGGGCGAGUAACACAUAUUUAACUUGCUCAUCCGAGGAGAAUAGCAGCCCGAAAGGGCUAUUAAUACGCCAUAGUUUUAAAUUAGUGAAUUAAUUUAAAUUAAAGGAGGCUGCCGAAAGGUGGCCUCGCGGAUGAAUAGGAAUAUGUCCUAUUAGGUCGUUGGAGAGGUAAUGGCUCACCAAGCCGAUGAUGGGUAGCUGGACUGAGAGGUUGAACAGCCGCAAUGGGAUUGAGAAAUGGCCCAUAUUCCUACGGGAAGCAGCAGUGAGGAAUUUUUCACAAUGGACGAAAGUCUGAUGGAGCAAUACCACGUGAACGAUGAAGGUCUUCUGAUUGUAAAGUUCUUUUAUUUAGGAAAAAAAGCGCGGCAGGAAAUGGCCGCGCCUUGAUUGUACUAAUUGAAUAAGUGACAGCUAACUAUGUGCCAGCAGCUGCGGUAAAACAUAGGUCACGAGCAUUAUCCGGAUUUAUUGGGCGUAAAGGAAGCGUAGGCUGAAAUGUGUAUUCAUUGUUAAAAAUAUUUGCUUAACAAGUGUUCGCGGUGAAGAUUACAUUUCUAGAAUUAGUUAGAGGGUACUGGAAUUCAAUGUGUAGUGGUGGAAUACGUAGAUAUAUUGAGGAACACCAGAGGCUAAGGCGAGUGCCUGGAACAUAAUUGACGCUGAGGCUUGAAAGCGUGGGUAGCAAAUGGGAUUAGAUACCCCAGUAGUCCACGCCGUAAACGAUGGGUAUUAGUCAUUUGGAUUUAAGACUGAGUGAUGUAGCUAACGCGUUAAAUACCCCGCCUGGGUAGUAUAUAUGCAAAUAUGAAACUCAAAGAAAUUGACGGGGACCUGAACAAGUGGUGG
This 905-nucleotide ribosomal RNA is filed under the name uncultured Mycoplasma sp. Its description in RNAcentral is "bacterial SSU rRNA". It matches the Rfam family "Bacterial small subunit ribosomal RNA", at positions 43 to 935 of the family's 1533-position model. Lineage: Bacteria; Bacillati; Mycoplasmatota; Mollicutes; Mycoplasmatales; Mycoplasmataceae. The record is from RNAcentral.